This 510-nucleotide ribosomal RNA is filed under the name uncultured bacterium. RNAcentral describes it as "partial 16S ribosomal RNA". It matches the Rfam family "Bacterial small subunit ribosomal RNA", at positions 28 to 507 of the family's 1533-position model. The record is from RNAcentral.
GACGAACGCUGGCGGCGUGCUUAACACAUGCAAGUCGAACGAAGAGCGAUGGAAGCUUGCUUCUAUCAAUCUUAGUGGCGAACGGGUGAGUAACGCGUAAUCAACCUGCCCUUCAGAGGGGGACAACAGUUGGAAACGACUGCUAAUACCGCAUACGAUCUAAUCUCGGCAUCGAGGAUAGAUGAAAGGUGGCCUCUACAUGUAAGCUAUCACUGAAGGAGGGGAUUGCGUCUGAUUAGCUAGUUGGAGGGGUAACGGCCCACCAAGGCGAUGAUCAGUAGCCGGUCUGAGAGGAUGAACGGCCACAUUGGGACUGAGACGCGGCCCAGACUCCUACGGGAGGCAGCAGUGGGGAAUCUUCCGCAAUGGACGAAAGUCUGACGGAGCAACGCCGCGUGAGUGAUGACGGCCUUCGGGUUGUAAAGCUCUGUUAAUCGGGACGAAAGGCCUUCUUGCGAACAGUUAGAAGGAUUGACGGUACCGGAAUAGAAAGCCACGGCUAACUACGUG